AUAGCAGUGAUGAGGCAAAACACAUGAGGAUGUGUUUAGGGAAGUGGACAAUACAAUGGAAGUUGUGUUGCCGUGAUCCCCAAUUUAAACGACUUCUCCUUCCACUGAGCUUU
This is a non-coding RNA of Helianthus annuus (common sunflower), 113 nucleotides long. The record is from Rfam. NCBI's taxonomy places the organism in Eukaryota, Viridiplantae, Streptophyta, Magnoliopsida, Asterales, Asteraceae.